Molecule: non-coding RNA, 460 nt
Organism: Ochotona princeps (American pika)
Lineage: Eukaryota; Metazoa; Chordata; Mammalia; Lagomorpha; Ochotonidae
Source: Rfam
GUGGCCAUGGAGGGCCUGCGGGUUGGGGUCUGACUUAUCUGGGAGGCAGCCUGCACCCUCGGGGCCCCAGGGGGUGGGGCCCCAGCAGAUGUCUGGGAUUGGUAGCCAGGGCCUGGAGCCGGAUGCCGAGAAGGAGGCCUGCAACUCAUUUCCCCAUUAGACGUUCUGAGAACACGUGCACCAGCUUCCAAGCUUUCUCCCUCCCGAACCGCCCUGAUUAGUGUGUGAAGAACUGGCACAUCUCCACGAGGUUGUAAGGAAGGUGAAAAGAUCGCUCUUAAUUAGAUUAAAAACAUUGUUUUCUUCCUGUGUCAUUUUGCCCUGAAAAUCAAGGCCAAUUUUUUCCUUUCUUCAUCCAAAAGCCUUCAGAAAGCUCCCUCUGCACCUCUCUGGAGGGUCAUAUUACAUUUUCCUGGGAACCUGCCCUGAACAUGUGCAGUGGGAGAUCUGGCCAGUGACU